CAGUCGCCGCGGUAAUACGGAGGGCGCGAGCGUUACCCGGAUUUACUGGGCGUAAAGGGCGUGUAGGCGGCCUGGGGCGUCCCAUGUGAAAGGCCACGGCUCAACCGUGGAGGAGCGUGGGAUACGCUCAGGCUAGAGGGUGGGAGAGGGUGGUGGAAUUCCCGGAGUAGCGGUGAAAUGCGCAGAUACCGGGAGGAACGCCGAUGGCGAAGGCAGCCACCUGGUCCACUUCUGACGCUGAGGCGCGUAAGCGUGGGGAGCAAACAGGAUUAGAUACCCGCGUAGUCCCUGUCUCUUAUAC
RNAcentral lists this ribosomal RNA (301 nucleotides) under uncultured bacterium. RNAcentral's name for it is "partial 16S ribosomal RNA". It matches the Rfam family "Bacterial small subunit ribosomal RNA", at positions 509 to 807 of the family's 1533-position model. The record is from RNAcentral.